Molecule: ribosomal RNA, 497 nt
Filed under: uncultured bacterium
Lineage: Bacteria
Description: partial 16S ribosomal RNA
Rfam family: Bacterial small subunit ribosomal RNA
Source: RNAcentral
AUUGAACGCUGGCGGCAUGCCUUACACAUGCAAGUCGAACGGUAACAGGUCUUCGGAUGCUGACGAGUGGCGAACGGGUGAGUAAUACAUCGGAACGUGCCUAGUAGUGGGGGAUAACUACUCGAAAGAGUGGCUAAUACCGCAUGAGAUCUACGGAUGAAAGCAGGGGAUCGCAAGACCUUGUGCUACUAGAGCGGCCGAUGGCAGAUUAGGUAGUUGGUGGGAUAAAAGCUUACCAAGCCGACGAUCUGUAGCUGGUCUGAGAGGACGAUCAGCCACACUGGGACUAAGACACGGCCCAGACUCCUACGGGAGGCAGCAGUGGGGAAUUUUGGACAAUGGGCGCAAGCCUGAUCCAGCAAUGCCGCGUGCAGGAUGAAGGCCUUCGGGUUGUAACUGCUUUUGUACGGAACGAAAAGCCCUGGGUUAAUACCCUGGGGUCAUGACGGUACCGUAAGAAUAAGCACCGGCUAACUUCGUGCCAGCCGCCGCCGUAA